Long non-coding RNA from Gavialis gangeticus (Gharial), 326 nucleotides. RefSeq lists it as uncharacterized. The record is from RefSeq and is a predicted model, not a curated record. The transcript is spliced from 2 exons. Lineage: Eukaryota; Metazoa; Chordata; Crocodylia; Gavialidae.
UACUAUGCUAUGACCUCUGGGGGUCCUCCUUCCAGCUCUACUUUUCUCUGAUAAGGUUUGCAUUAGCCCAAAGUAUUGCACAGCAGAAGCUCAUGUUCAGAACUUUAUCCACAAGCCCUUUCCAGCAUUGCUACUUGUCCUCCAGCCUACAAACAUAAGAACACAAAACUGGAAUGUGUUCCUCCUCCCAAAAUCGUCAUACAACCCCCUGCAUCUGCAGGUAAAUCAACUGUCCAGAAGAGUCCACAAGAAUAUUUACUGCAAACUCAUUGGUACACCACACCCACAAAUCAGCACAUUGUGCAUGUGUGCAGCAUUUAUAAAUU